CUGCCCCAAACUUCACAUGAUGGACACCAGGUCCAGUCUGAACACAUCCACACUCAUAAAUUCUGAAAAAGUCAUAGCGCCACCUGUUGGUAAUAGUAAGUUUAAGGCCUUAUAUUUUCAGGUACAAUGGCCCCAAACUUGGUGAUAUCAUGCUGGAAAUUGGUCAGUCGAGUCUUCACCUCUUGACAAUCACACACUGUGAAGGGUGUGACAUUUCAUGCAACGCUGUUGCCGUAGCAACCAAAUAUCGCCAUGAAAAACAAAGCCCUUUCUGACAGUUUAGAAAUACUCCAAUGCUCACUAAAAUUACCACACACAUCACCAUCGACCCAAGGAACAACACUGUAUGCAUCUCGGCACUGCACAUGCUAUAGCGCCCCCUACAGUAUUUUUAACAAACAGCCCCCCCAGCACG
Acanthochromis polyacanthus (spiny chromis) is the source of this 415-nucleotide long non-coding RNA. RefSeq lists it as uncharacterized. Lineage: Eukaryota; Metazoa; Chordata; Actinopteri; Pomacentridae. The transcript is spliced from 3 exons. The record is from RefSeq and is a predicted model, not a curated record.